AUACGUAGGGGGCGAGCGUUGUCCGGAAUGAUUGGGCGUAAAGGGCGCGUAGGCGGCCCGGUAAGUCUGGAGUGAAAGUCCUGCUUUUAAGGUGGGAAUUGCUUUGGAUACUGCUGGGCUUGAGUGCAGGAGAGGUAAGUGGAAUUCCCAGUGUAGCGGUGAAAUGCGUAGAGAUUGGGAGGAACACCAGUGGCGGAGGCGACUUACUGGACUGUAACUGACGCUGAGGCGCGAAAGUGUGGGGAGCAAACAGGAUUAGAUACCCUGGUAGUCCACACUGUAAACGAUGAAUGCUAGGUGUAGGGGGUAUCGACCCCUUCUGUGCCGCAGUAAACACAAUAAGCAUUCCGCCUGGGGAGUACGGCCGCAAGGUUUAAACUCAAAUGAAUUGACGGGG
Molecule: ribosomal RNA, 397 nt
Filed under: uncultured bacterium
Lineage: Bacteria
Description: partial 16S ribosomal RNA
Rfam family: Bacterial small subunit ribosomal RNA
Source: RNAcentral